AGCGAACGCUGGCGGCAGGCCUAACACAUGCAAGUCGAGCGCUCGUAGCAAUACGAGAGCGGCAGACGGGAGAGUAACACGUGGGAACGUACCCUUCAGUUCGGAACAACCCAGGGAAACUUGGGCUAAUACCGGAUACGUCCGUAAGGAGAAAGAUUUAUCGCUGAAGGAUCGGCCCGCGUCUGAUUAGCUAGUUGGUGAGGUAACGCUCACCAAGGCUACGAUCAGUAGCGGUCUGAGAGGAUGAUCAGCCUCACUGGGACUGAGACACGGCCCAGACUCCUACGGGAGGCAGCAGUGGGGGAUAUUGGACAAUGGCGCAAGCCUGAUCCAGCCAUGCCGCGUGAGUGAAG
RNAcentral lists this ribosomal RNA (353 nucleotides) under uncultured bacterium. RNAcentral's name for it is "bacterial SSU rRNA". It matches the Rfam family "Bacterial small subunit ribosomal RNA", at positions 29 to 410 of the family's 1533-position model. The record is from RNAcentral.